Lepisosteus oculatus (spotted gar) is the source of this 288-nucleotide non-coding RNA. Lineage: Eukaryota; Metazoa; Chordata; Actinopteri; Semionotiformes; Lepisosteidae. The record is from RefSeq and is a predicted model, not a curated record.
CUCCUCCCUCACUCCCGGGUCUGCCGGUCAGCGGAUACAGCACCCCCUCUCCUGCCACCUACACAUGCUGACGCAGCUACUGACUUGAACUUCUGGAUACCAAAGUAUCUGAGAUACUUCUGUAAAGUCUGCAGAGAUGAGGACAAGGUGAAAAUAGCAGGAUGGGGCUUCAAAUGAGCAGUCGGACAGAGCAGGGCUGUGUGCCCCACGACGCAGGCCCUACGAAGGUCAUCCUCUUGAGUACCACAGGAACCUGUGCUUGGACACAUUAAAGAGAUAAUGACAUAG